ACGGGAGGCAGCAGUAGGGAAUAUUGGGCAAUGGAGGCAACUCUGACCCAGCCAUGCCGCGUGAAGGAAGACGGCCCUAUGGGUUGUAAACUUCUUUUAUCGUAGAGUAAACCUGCCCACGUGUGGGCAGUUGAGAGUAUACGAGGAAUAAGUAUCGGCUAACUCCGUGCCAGCAGCCGCGGUAAUACGGGGGAUACGAGCGUUAUCCGGAUUUAUUGGGUUUAAAGGGUGCGCAGGCGGCUUUUUAAGUCAGUGGUUAAAUCGUGACGCUCAACGUCAUCACGCCAUUGAUACUGGAGAGCUUGAUUGCGGUCGAGGUUUGCGGAAUUCGUUGUGUAGCGGUGAAAUGCAUAGAUAUGACGAAGAACACCGAUUGCGUAGGCAGCAGACCAGGCCGUAAAUGACGCUCAUGCACGAAAGUGCGGGGAUCGAACAGGAUUAGAUACCCUGGUA
Molecule: ribosomal RNA, 453 nt
Filed under: uncultured Persicobacter sp.
Lineage: Bacteria; Pseudomonadati; Bacteroidota; Cytophagia; Cytophagales; Persicobacteraceae
Description: partial 16S ribosomal RNA
Rfam family: Bacterial small subunit ribosomal RNA
Source: RNAcentral